ACGACGGUGGCGAAAGCAAGCUUCUGAGUAGCAGCGUUCCAAGUCCAGAUCUGCUUGUUGCAGACAGAGCUGUCGUAUUGGGCAGCGUUCAUAGCCACGUAGUCACUGUCGCUGAUAGUGGAACCGCAAGCACCGACACCGCUAGCAGUGUAGUAGGUAGCAGUACCCUGGGAAUCGUCACGCUUCUCGAAGGAGGGAGCGGCAGAGACGAGAGAGAGAGCAGCAAGAGUAGCGAAGAUAGCCUUGGUGAACAUUUUUGUUGUUGGUGUUAUUGGUGCGUUUACCGUAGUAUUAAUAGCGAGUGUUGGUAUGUCUUGUACAGACUUUUUGUUUGUCUAGGUUGACGUUGAUUGGUGGUGGUGAAAGAGUCGAAAGAUUCUUAAUGGUUGGGGAGCAAAGAGGUCGUAGACUGAAAGGUUUUUAUACCUUGUGUUCUGUCUAUCUGAAUCUUUUUGAGGCCAUCGCUGUUGUGAAGACAUGCCCGAACAGAGUUGAAAGGAAUGAGUGUGUUAUCGUUCAUACUUCCACUUUACACCUCGGCACCCCCGUCUUUGAUUGAGAGUCCAGACAUUGACCUGUACGUCAUGAUUAUCCAUAGACACCUACAUUUAGAGGACCUCGAUCUUCGAUAGCGCUUCUUGGUUAUUUGGUAAGCAUAUUCCGCGCAUAGACUGGUCCAACCAGUCUGUCCCUUGUUUGCUAACCUUCGGAAGAUUAAGGCAAAUAAUCGGGGUUUGAUGGGGCAGGGCGUGCAGGGUCAUAAAAGUUACGAAUGCAACGGUCCAAAUUUUG
RNAcentral lists this small RNA (792 nucleotides) under Cryptococcus neoformans H99. RNAcentral's name for it is "Cryptococcus neoformans var. grubii H99 hypothetical RNA". The record is from RNAcentral. Lineage: Eukaryota; Fungi; Basidiomycota; Tremellomycetes; Tremellales; Cryptococcaceae.